GCUGCACUGGCUGGGGCGGGGACGCGCCUCGGACGCGGAAAGGGGCGCGCGCGACCAGGCGCGCUCCCCGGGCGACGUGGGGCUGCGUGGGGGCGGGUUCCGGGGAGGGCUGCAGGACAUAGGUGCUGGAGUCCCUAAGCUCCCGGGGUGCCCGCGCCCCUGGGCUCCCCGACUGACCACAGCCCCGGACCACGGCCCUUCCCCAACUGGACAUACAUACGCGACUGCGACAAAGCCCGAUCUCCCGUGAGAGGGCCGACCCCACGCACUCGAUGAGGGUGGGGAUGGUACGGAUUCUCCAGACUCGAGGACUUUCUUUAUACCAAAUAACUGUCAGGAACAGAAGGUGCGCGAUCUUAUUUGACUGGCGCCAGAGUGGUGAUUUCUGCCUUGCGUGUUUUGAUUGGAUGAUUCCACACUUGGUUUUCAGGAGCCAAGGUCACUCCCCAGGUUGGCAUUCUAUGUCGGAGAGGAUAAGGCUUCCCUGUUGCUUGGUGAUGCGGACCGAGUAAAAGCCCUUGGAGAACGUGGAAGCCGCAGCUGCGCACCCAUCGGCUCUCUACAGUGCAAGAGGUUUCACCAUGUAACUCCAUCUGGAAUGCAAGUUAGACUCGAUACUUUAUCCAGUUUCUAAUCGUUUAUCUUUCUCUUACGAAACUGCGUUGGAAGACUUUUCCCUCUGCUCUCUCCAGGAUACAAAUAUCAUCUCAAACAGAACACCCACUGCGAGGCAUUUGCAGUUUCCAGAGCGUCAUGGUUGCCCUCUUGAGAUUCUUAGAGCACUCACUAUGCCGCCCUCUCAAGAAGCAAAACAAACUUCCAACUAAGAUAGAGCAGUCCUAGCUCUCUGAGUUCCCAAUGUGCUAGAGACCAACUAGGAAUACAUUCACAGGUGAAUUAGCAUAAAUACUUGCUGGGCAGUGGUGGCACCAGCGCAUGUGUUUGGAGGCAGAGG
This is a long non-coding RNA of Onychomys torridus (southern grasshopper mouse), 955 nucleotides long. RefSeq lists it as uncharacterized. NCBI's taxonomy places the organism in Eukaryota, Metazoa, Chordata, Mammalia, Rodentia, Cricetidae. The transcript is spliced from 4 exons. The record is from RefSeq and is a predicted model, not a curated record.